AUACGAAAGGUGCAAGCGUUGUUCGGAUUUACUGGGCGUAAAGAGAGUGUAGGUUGUUUAUUAAGUCGGAUGUGAAAUCCCGGGGCUCAACCUCGGAACUGCGUUCGAUACUGGUAGACUAGAGUUCGGGAGGGGUAAGCGGAAUUCCGUGUGUAGCAGUGAAAUGCGUAGAUAUACGGAGGAACACCUGAGGCGAAGGCGGCUUACUGGACCGAUACUGACACUGAGACUCGAAAGCGUGGGUAGCAAACAGGAUUAGAUACCCUAGUAGUCC
RNAcentral lists this ribosomal RNA (274 nucleotides) under uncultured bacterium. RNAcentral's name for it is "partial 16S ribosomal RNA". It matches the Rfam family "Bacterial small subunit ribosomal RNA", at positions 523 to 796 of the family's 1533-position model. The record is from RNAcentral.